GACAGAGGUCUCGAGCGUUUAGGCGGAAUCACUGGGCUUAAAGCGUGUGUAGGCGGACUUGUAAGUACCUUGUGAAAUCCCACGGCUCAACCGUGGAACUGCUUGGUAUACUGCUUGUCUUGGGCCAUCUAGGGGUUACCGGAACAAACGGUGGAGCGGUGAAAUGCGUAGAUAUGACAUAGAACACCAAUUGCGAAGGCAGCCCGCUACACGGUUAUUGACACUGAGGCACGAAAGCGUGGGGAUCAAACAGG
This 254-nucleotide ribosomal RNA is filed under the name uncultured bacterium. RNAcentral's name for it is "partial 16S ribosomal RNA". It matches the Rfam family "Bacterial small subunit ribosomal RNA", at positions 524 to 776 of the family's 1533-position model. The record is from RNAcentral.